This 82-nucleotide transfer RNA is filed under the name Bacteroidota bacterium. Its description in RNAcentral is "Bacteroidetes bacterium tRNA-Leu". It matches the Rfam family "tRNA". Rfam says of the family: Transfer RNA (tRNA) molecules are approximately 80 nucleotides in length. Their secondary structure includes four short double-helical elements and three loops (D, anti-codon, and T loops). Further hydrogen bonds mediate the characteristic L-shaped molecular structure. tRNAs have two regions of fundamental functional importance: the anti-codon, which is responsible for specific mRNA codon recognition, and the 3' end, to which the tRNAs corresponding amino acid is attached (by aminoacyl-tRNA synthetases). tRNAs cope with the degeneracy of the genetic code in two manners: having more than one tRNA (with a specific anti-codon) for a particular amino acid; and 'wobble' base-pairing, i.e. permitting non-standard base-pairing at the 3rd anti-codon position. Lineage: Bacteria; Pseudomonadati; Bacteroidota. RNAcentral also lists the same sequence under 5 other names. The record is from RNAcentral.
GCCUGAGUGGCGGAACUGGUAGACGCGCACGACUCAAAAUCGUGUACCGCAAGGUGUGCCGGUUCGAUUCCGGCCUUAGGUA